This 77-nucleotide small RNA is filed under the name Flavobacterium branchiophilum. RNAcentral's name for it is "Flavo-1 RNA". Lineage: Bacteria; Pseudomonadati; Bacteroidota; Flavobacteriia; Flavobacteriales; Flavobacteriaceae. The record is from RNAcentral.
CUUUAGGGAUUGUAGUGGAAAUCCUUUUUUGCCCCUCUUUUUGGGGCAAAAAAGAUUAUUUCACAAUAUUAUAUUUC